AGACAACAAAAUGUUUAAUAUUAUUAUUUUGUCACCUUAGGUCGAUCGGUAUCUCACGUUUUUAAUUUAUUAAAAAUUUCAUUUCCUAAGUUUUUCUAGGUCACACCCAUUAUUUUUCCUGGGCCAUUAGCUCAGGUGGUUAGAGCGCACCCCUGAUAAGGGUGAGGUCCCUGGUUCAAGUCCAGGAUGGCCCAUAUCUCUAUGUUGGGGGUAUAGCUCAGUUGGUAGAGCGCCUGCUUUGCAAGCAGGAUGUCAGCGGUUCAAGUCCGCUUACCUCCACUGAUCACCACCUCUUCCAUAACCGGUAGAAAGGAAAUUUUUUGAGUUGUGAUCAAAUUCUGAAAGAAUCUAGCUUCCUAAUGAAAUCAUUAAGAUGCUGGAUUCAUUGAAUUAAUUUCAUUGAUUUCAGAGAACCUUGACAACUGCAUAGAUUAUUUUUAAAGACAAUAAGCAUCUUUAAUGAUGCAGAUUUAUUAUUUGUGCGAAAGCAUUAAUAACAAUUCUAUUAAGCUGAUGCUUCAAUUUUGAAGUUAUU
This 535-nucleotide transfer RNA is filed under the name uncultured cyanobacterium. Its description in RNAcentral is "partial 16S-23S intergenic spacer". The stretch from base 207 to 279 matches the Rfam family "tRNA". The record is from RNAcentral. Lineage: Bacteria; Bacillati; Cyanobacteriota.